This 26-nucleotide non-coding RNA is filed under the name Mus musculus (house mouse). The record is from RNAcentral. Lineage: Eukaryota; Metazoa; Chordata; Mammalia; Rodentia; Muridae.
UGCUCUUGCAGGGUUUUAAGAUCAGG